RNAcentral lists this ribosomal RNA (252 nucleotides) under uncultured bacterium. RNAcentral's name for it is "partial 16S ribosomal RNA". It matches the Rfam family "Bacterial small subunit ribosomal RNA", at positions 524 to 776 of the family's 1533-position model. The record is from RNAcentral.
UACGUAGGGGGCAAGCGUUGUCCGGAUUUAUUGGGCGUAAAGAGCGUGUAGGCGGCCAUACAGGUCAGCUGUGAAAACUCGAGGCUCAACCUCGAGACGUCGGUUGAAACCGUAUGGCUAGAGUCCGGAAGAGGAGAGUGGAAUUCCCGGUGUAGCGGUGAAAUGCGCAGAUAUCGGGAAGAACACCCGUGGCGAAGGCGGCUCUCUGGGACGGUACUGACGCUGAGACGCGAAAGCGUGGGAGCGAACAGG